AACGAACGCUGGCGGCAUGCCUAACACAUGCAAGUCGAACGAGACCUUCGGGUCUAGUGGCGCACGGGUGCGUACCGCGUGGGAACCUGCCCUUAGGUUCGGAAUAACUCCCCGAAAGGGGUGCUAAUACCGGAUAAUGUCUUCGGACCAAAGAUUUAUCGCCUUUGGAUGGGCCCGCGUUGGAUUAGCUAGUUGGUAGGGUAAAAGCCUACCAAGGCGACGAUCCAUAGCUGGUCUGAGAGGAUGAUCAGCCACACUGGGACUGCGACACGGCCCAGACUCCUACGCAAGGCAGCAGUAGGGAAUAUUGGACGCUGGGCGAAAGCCUGAUCCAGCAGUGUCGCGUGAGUGGUGAAGGCCUUAGGGUUGUAAAGCUCUUUUACCCGGGAUGAUAAUGACAGUACCGGGAGAAUAAGCACCGGCUAACUCCGUG
This 433-nucleotide ribosomal RNA is filed under the name uncultured bacterium. RNAcentral's name for it is "partial 16S ribosomal RNA". It matches the Rfam family "Bacterial small subunit ribosomal RNA", at positions 29 to 507 of the family's 1533-position model. The record is from RNAcentral.